AGACCCGAAACCCGGUGAUCUAGCCAUGGGCAGGUUGAAGGUUGGGUAACACUAACUGGAGGACCGAACCGACUAAUGUUGAAAAAUUAGCGGAUGACCUGUGGCUGGGGGUGAAAGGCCAAUCAAACCGGGAGAUAGCUGGUUCUCCCCGAAAGCUAUUUAGGUAGCGCCUCGUGAAUUCAUCUCCGGGGGUAGAGCACUGUUUCGGCUAGGGGGCCAUCCCGGCUUACCAACCCGAUGCAAACUGCGAAUACCGGAGAAUGUUAUCACGGGAGACACACGGCGGGUGCUAACGUCCGUCGUGAAGAGGGAAACAACCCAGACCGCCAGCUAAGGUCCCAAAGUCAUGGUUAAGUGGGAAACGAUGUGGGAAGGCCCAGACAGCCAGGAUGUUGGCUUAGAAGCAGCCAUCAUUUAAAGAAAGCGUAAUAGCUCACUGGUCGAGUCGGCCUGCGCGGAAGAUGUAACGGGGCUAAACCAUGCACCGAAGCUGCGGCAGCGACACUCAGGUGUUGUUGGGUAGGGGAGCGUUCUGUAAGCCUGCGAAGGUGGCCUGUGAGGGUUGCUGGAGGUAUCAGAAGUGCGAAUGCUGACAUAAGUAACGAUAAAGCGGGUG
Molecule: ribosomal RNA, 616 nt
Filed under: Salmonella enterica
Lineage: Bacteria; Pseudomonadati; Pseudomonadota; Gammaproteobacteria; Enterobacterales; Enterobacteriaceae
Also listed under: 3 other names
Description: bacterial LSU rRNA
Rfam family: Bacterial large subunit ribosomal RNA
Source: RNAcentral